AUUGAACGCUGGCGGCAUGCUUUACACAUGCAAGUCGAACGGCAGCGGGGAGGAGCUUGCUUCUCUGCCGGCGAGUGGCGAAAGGGUGAGUAAUACAUCGGAACGUGUCGAGAAGAGGGGGAUAACCACCCGAAAGGGUGGCUAAUACCGCAUAAAGUCUGAGGAAGAAAGCUGGGGACCUAGGAAUAGGCCUAGCGCUUUUUGAUCGGACGAUGUCGGAUUAGCUAGUUGGUGAGGUAAAGGCUCACCAAGGCGAAGAUCUGUAGCGGGUCUGAGAGGAUGAUCCGCCACACUGGGACUGAGACACGGCCCAGACUCCUACGGGAGGCAGCAGUGGGGAAUUUUGGACAAAGGGGGCAACCCUGAUCCAGCCAUGCCGCGUGUAUGAAGAAGGUCUUAGGGUUGUAAAGUACUUUUGUUAGGGAAGAAAAGUCAGAUGUGAAUAACGGCUGAUACUGACGUUACCUACAGAAUAAGCACCGGCUAACUACGUG
Molecule: ribosomal RNA, 494 nt
Filed under: uncultured bacterium
Lineage: Bacteria
Description: partial 16S ribosomal RNA
Rfam family: Bacterial small subunit ribosomal RNA
Source: RNAcentral